GUUAGAGAACGCUCUGAAAGGUUUACCCAAGGAGACGUCCGGAGGAGCCGUGACCGUCACCCACAAACAGCUGACCGACUUCCACAAACAGGUCACCAGUGCUGAGGAGUGUAAACAGGUGUGCUGGGCCAUCAGAGAGUUCACCCGACUGUUCCGAUAGCUGCAACCUUCACACGACACCAGGUUAAAUCUUUUGUUGACCAACAUUCAGAGGUGACGGCAAAAAGCUGCGAUGCAGACAAGGAUCCACAGAGACGACGAAUACGAGGAGGGACGGAGCUCUGAGGGACUGAGUGAGGACUGAUUGGACAGACUGAGUCCUCCAGCCCGACCCCCGACCUCACCUGACCUCACCUGCAGCAGGUGUCAGGUGGGCGGGUCGGGUCCAGCCGAUGGGCGGGGUCAGGGCGUCUGGCCAACAGUUUUUAAGAGAAGAUUUAUUUUUGGGACUUUGGUCGUGAUGUUUUUGUGUCCGUGCCAUAAAGGAGCCAGAAGAUUUCCCAUGAUGCUCUGGGCAGAGCGGCAGCGAGCUGCUGGAAGAGGAUUUGGCGUCACCUUUGACCUUUUUAACUUUGGUUGACUUUUAGUUGUUUUUCCACAAAGUGAGACAGAGUGAACUCUGGGUAAUGAGAGACUGACACCAUGACAUCAUCGGUGAUGUAGCCUUGUUGUAAACAAUAAACAAAAACAACUCAAACAAACAAA
This is a non-coding RNA of Plectropomus leopardus (leopard coralgrouper), 705 nucleotides long. Lineage: Eukaryota; Metazoa; Chordata; Actinopteri; Perciformes; Serranidae. The record is from RefSeq and is a predicted model, not a curated record.